CGGUAAUACGGAGGGUGCGAGCGUUAAUCGGAAUUACUGGGCGUAAAGCGUCAUGCAGGUGGUUUGUUAAGUCAGAUGUGAAAGCCCGGGGCUUCAACCUCGGAAUUGCAUUUGAAACUGGCAAACUAGAGUACUGUAGAGGGGGUAGAAUUUCAGGUGUAGCGGUGAAAUGCGUAGAGAUCUGAAGGAAUACCGGUGGCGAAGGCGGCCCCCUGGACAGAUACUGACACUCAGAUGCGAAAGCGUGGGGAGCAAACAGGAUUAGAUACCCUGGUAG
RNAcentral lists this ribosomal RNA (277 nucleotides) under uncultured bacterium. Its description in RNAcentral is "partial 16S ribosomal RNA". It matches the Rfam family "Bacterial small subunit ribosomal RNA", at positions 518 to 793 of the family's 1533-position model. The record is from RNAcentral.